RNAcentral lists this ribosomal RNA (460 nucleotides) under uncultured bacterium. RNAcentral's name for it is "partial 16S ribosomal RNA". It matches the Rfam family "Bacterial small subunit ribosomal RNA", at positions 338 to 795 of the family's 1533-position model. The record is from RNAcentral.
CCUACGGGUGGCAGCAGUGAGGAAUAUUGGUCAAUGGACGAGAGUCUGAACCAGCCAAGUAGCGUGAAGGAUGACUGCCCUAUGGGUUGUAAACUUCUUUUAUCUGGGAAUAAAAUGCUCCACGUGUGGGGUUCUGUAUGUACCCUAUGAAUAAGGAUCGGCUAACUCCGUGCCAGCAGCCGCGGUAAUACGGAGGAUCCGAGCGUUAUCCGGGUUUAUUGGGUUUAAAGGGAGCGUAGGUGGAAUGUUAAGUCAGUUGUGAACGUUUGCGGCUCAACCGUAAAAGUGCAGUUGAAACUGGCAGUCUUGAGUGCAGUAGAGGUGUGCGGAAUUCGUGGUGUAGCGGUGAAAUGCUUAGAUAUCACGAAGAACUCCGAUUGCGAAGGCAGCUCACUGGACUGCAACUGACACUGAGGCUCGAAAGUGUGGGUAUCAAACAGGAUUAGAUACCCGUGUAGUC